RNAcentral lists this ribosomal RNA (254 nucleotides) under uncultured bacterium. Its description in RNAcentral is "partial 16S ribosomal RNA". It matches the Rfam family "Bacterial small subunit ribosomal RNA", at positions 57 to 305 of the family's 1533-position model. The record is from RNAcentral.
GCAAGUCGAGGGGUAACAUGAAGGUGCUUGCACUUUUGAUGACGACCGGCGCACGGGUGCGUAACGCGUAUACAAUCUGCCUUGUACUGAGGGAUAGCCCAGAGAAAUUUGGAUUAAUACCUCAUGGUAUCAUAUAACCGCAUGGUUUUUAUGAUUAAAGGUUACGGUACAAGAUGAGUAUGCGUCCUAUUAGUUUGUUGGUAAGGUAACGGCUUACCAAGACUACGAUAGAUAGGGGUUCUGAGAGGAUAGUC